Molecule: ribosomal RNA, 301 nt
Filed under: uncultured bacterium
Lineage: Bacteria
Description: partial 16S ribosomal RNA
Rfam family: Bacterial small subunit ribosomal RNA
Source: RNAcentral
CAGCCGCCGCGGUAAUACGAAGGGGGCUAGCGUUGCUCGGAAUGACUGGGCGUAAAGGGCGCGUAGGCGGCUUGUUAAGUCAGAUGUGAAAUUCCUGGGCUUAACCUGGGGGCUGCAUUUGAUACUUGCGGGCUAGAAUGUGAAAGAGGGUCGUAGAAUUCCCAGUGUAGAGGUGAAAUGCGUAGAUAUUGGGAAGAACACCGGUGGCGAAGGCGGCGACCUGGUUCAUGAUUGACGCUGAGGCGCGAAAGCGUGGGGAGCAAACAGGAUUAGAUACCCCGGUAGUCCCUGUCUCUUAUAC